Molecule: ribosomal RNA, 303 nt
Filed under: uncultured bacterium
Lineage: Bacteria
Description: partial 16S ribosomal RNA
Rfam family: Bacterial small subunit ribosomal RNA
Source: RNAcentral
AGCAGUCGCCGCGGUAAUGCGUAGGGUGCAAGCGUUAAUCGGAAUUACUGGGCGUAAAGCGUGCGCAGGCGGUCCGCUAAUACAGAUGUGAAAUCCCCGGGCUUAACCUGGGAACUGCAUUUGUGACUGGCGGGCUAGAGUAUGGCAGAGGGGGUAGAAUUCCACGUGUAGCAGUGAAAUGCGUAGAGAUGUGGAGGAAUACCGAUGGCGAAGGCAGCCCCCUGGGCCAAUACUGACGCUCAUGCACGAAAGCGUGGGGAGCAAACAGGAUUAGAUACCCGCGUAGUCCCUGUCUCUUAUACA